UACGUAGGGUGCAAGCGUUGUCCGGAAUUAUUGGGCGUAAAGAGCUCGUAGGCGGUCUGUCGCGUCGAAUGUGAAAACCCGGGGCUCAACCCCGGGCCUGCAUUCGAUACGGGCAGACUAGAGUUCGGUAGGGGAGUCUGGAAUUCCUGGUGUAGCGGUGAAAUGCGCAGAUAUCAGGAGGAACACCGGUGGCGAAGGCGGUUCUCUGGGCAUGUCCUGACGCUGAGGAGCGAAAGUGUGGGGAGCGAACAGG
Molecule: ribosomal RNA, 253 nt
Filed under: uncultured bacterium
Lineage: Bacteria
Description: partial 16S ribosomal RNA
Rfam family: Bacterial small subunit ribosomal RNA
Source: RNAcentral